UACAGAGGGGGCAAGCGUUGUUCGGAAUUACUGGGCGUAAAGGGCGCGUAGGCGGCCCGCUAAGUCGAACGUGAAAUCCCCAGGCUUAACCUGGGAACUGCGUCCGAUACUGGCAGGCUUGAAUCCGGGAGAGGGAUGUGGAAUUCCAGGUGUAGCGGUGAAAUGCGUAGAUAUCAGGAAGAACACCCGUGGCGAAGGCGGUUCUCUGGGACGGUACUGACGCUGAGACGCGAAAGCGUGGGGAGCGAACAGG
RNAcentral lists this ribosomal RNA (253 nucleotides) under uncultured bacterium. Its description in RNAcentral is "partial 16S ribosomal RNA". It matches the Rfam family "Bacterial small subunit ribosomal RNA", at positions 524 to 776 of the family's 1533-position model. The record is from RNAcentral.